Long non-coding RNA from Bactrocera dorsalis (oriental fruit fly), 3004 nucleotides. RefSeq lists it as uncharacterized. The transcript is spliced from 3 exons. Lineage: Eukaryota; Metazoa; Arthropoda; Insecta; Diptera; Tephritidae. The record is from RefSeq and is a predicted model, not a curated record.
UAGUAUUCAAGCCAGGAAAUCAAAACGUAGUAGCAGAUGCAUUAUCAAGACAAAAAAUUAACACUUCAACAAUAGAAUCGAUACACUCGACACGUAGUUCACCAAACGAAAACUAUACAUACGCAAAACAAACGAUAAAUUCAUUUAAGAAUCAAAUCGUAUUAAAGAAACCUAAACGAAAUAAAAAAGAAACACAAAUGAUUUUUCCAAAGUCUCACAGACAUAAUAUUGAAUAUCAAAACACUGACUAUCUAACAAAAACCUUAAAAGAAAUUUUUACACUUAAUUUCAAUAACGCGAUUAAAAUUGAAGAACAAGAACUAUUCACAAUAAAAUCACUACUAAGUAAACAUUUUCUAAACUACAAGCUCUUUAUAGCACAAAAUCUAGUCGAAGACAUAACAGGCAAAAACAAGCAAUUGGAAACUAUAACAAAUACACAUAACCGAGCGCAUAGAAAUGAGAAAAAUAACGCGAUGGAAAUUAGACAACAAUAUUUUUGGCCCGAUAUGGCGAAACAAAUCAAAAACUUUGCACGAAACUGCUCAAAUUGUUAUGAACUAAAAUACGAACGUAGACCAACAAAACAACUGAUAGGGAGAACACCAGCAACAUAUCUACCAGGAGAAUCUAUAAGUAUGGAUAUACGAGGUGUGUUCAAAAAGUAAGGCGAAUUUUGUGUUUUUUCAAAAAUUAUUUAUUUAUUCAUGAAUAUCUAUUUUGUCACCUUCAAAGUAAUCCCCAUGAGAUAUUAUACACUUGUGCCAACGGUUUUUCCAAUCUUCGAAGCACUUCAAAAAAUCAUUUUUUUUAUCUUCUUCAGCUCUUCCUUCGAUGCCGUCUUCAGUUUAGGGAACAAGAAAAAAUCACAGGGGGCCAGAACUGGGGAAUGCGGUGGCUGCGGCAUCAUUAGUGUGUUGCGCACAAGCAACGAUGUUUGUGAGAAGGGGCGUUAUCGUGGUGCAAAAGCCAAUUUUUGUUCUUCCACAAAUCCGGGCAUUUCUGGCGGAUUGCUUCGCGAAAAUUGCGCAUAACUUGCAGGUAAUAUUCCUUAUUGACCGUUCUUCUCUGUGGCAAGAACUCAUGAUGCACCACGCCCCAGCAAUCGAAGAAAACUGUCAGUUACGAUUCGCGAUACUUUUUGAACACACUUCGUAUUCCACAUAGGGAAUAGAACAUAUAUAACUAGUAUGUGUAGGUACUCAAAGUAUUUAUUAACGAGAGAAAUAGCAGAUAAAGUCAACACCUUAGACAAACUAGAAGAAAUUCUCACACUUACAUACCCAUAUUGUAGAAACCUACAAACCGACAAUGAGAGUAUAUUCACAUCGAUAACUUGUAUGUCACUAUACCGACGACUACAUAUAACACAUAAUCGUACGCCAACAGCUCAUUCGACAUCAAACGGUUCAGUUGAACGCUUACUUACGAGUAUAAUAGGACAAUACCAAGGUAGAGGAGGAGUAAGGUCACUAUCAGCUGAUGUUAUGUAAACAAAGGCACAGCUGAGAGGUGCCACUGUAGAAACGCCAAGUGUAGUCCGGGGUUGAGUUUCUAUUUGAAUCCAAGAUGGCCGACUUUUAACCGGAAAAUGGUUGCAUUGUGUUAUUUUCUUAAAAUUUAUGGAAAAGUUGUCCCAAAAAUAUUGGUUAUAUGUAAAAGUUUAAUAUAUUUUCAAAAGAAAAUCGUUUUAUUUUAAUAUAUAUUCUUAAAGAUGAGAACAAUAUGAGCAAAUACAUGAAAAAUUAAGUUUUUUAUUUAUGCCUCUUUUUAACUGUGGUAAGUCAAUAAAUGUUCACCACAGAAAAAUGUUACGAACAAAUAAGCAACCAUGCCGAAUAGUGUGGUCUAGAUUAUGCUCAUUCACAGCCAUAUUUACAUUUUUGCCAUCGUAACGAAGGUUUUUGCAAAGACAAUUUGUUUUAGUUUAUUUCAUGGUUAAAUCCUUUGCGAUGGUUUAUUUAGUUAUUUGAAUCUAUAAAAAGUGUUUACAAUUUUCAUGGGACGAUAAACAACAGAUCGGCUGCGAUUUUAUUCCAAUAAAAGUACGAAAUAACCAAACAUGGCCACGUUAAAAUUGCUGCGUAAUGGGUCUGGUGCUGUUACAAUUUUAUGAUUUAAGAGAUGAAAAAGCGAUACGCGAUGCUGUGAAGUACUCAAAUGUAGUUAUCAAAUUAGUUGGUCGUGAAUUCGAGACAAAAUUUUAAAUUCAAUGGCGUUCUCGUGUAAGAUGCUCAUCGCAUUGCUAGAAUCAGCAAAGGAGCUGAUGUAGAACGCUAGUCCCAAACCAAUGAGCUUUGUGCAUGAGGGUGGAAGCAACUUUUUGAAGAGCAAAUACUACGGUGAGCACAUUCGGAUGUUGAAUAACCUAUUGUAAAUUGCGCUUAGAAUCCCGGUACUGCUGGUCAGGUUUAUCAGGCUGUUGGACCAAAGCGUUACCAGUUGAGCGAAUUAAUUGACUGGUUUCAUCGUGUUAUGCGUAAAGAUGAAAAAUAGUGGGGAUACCGUCAUUAAGACAUGUGUUGUGAUCCUACCUUCUUAUUGAAAGCCAAGUUCACGAAUAUAUUACCGAUGUCGUUCCCUCCAACAUACCGUGGUUGUAGAAUUUUGGUGUACAAUCCAUGGAAGAGCAAGUACCAUGAGAAUUAUGACCAUAUCGUGCUGCGCAAUAUCAUGAUGCCGAAUUGGGGAGUGGGGUGAACCAGCUCCACCAAAACCGAUAGAACAUCGGGAUGAACUACGCAAAUAAUAAACAACACUCAUCAAAUGAAAGUUGGCAGCGUUGGUGACUAAGCAGCGAUUUGAAAAAGAAACACUUGCAUCUACGCGAAUUACAAUUCGUCUUUACAUCUAGUGAAUUAUGGUCGAUUAUGAAUGGUGUGGAAGUUGAUAUUUAAACUUUAAAAAACAAAUAAAUGUAAUUUGGCUAAUAUUGAUAUUUAAACUUUAAAAAACAAAUAAAUGUAAUUUGGCUAAUAAUGAGCCGCUAUUAAAAGUUAAGGAA